CUAUUUCCUCGUCCCCUCUAAAUUUCUCUGUAUCUAUCUAUCCAAUAAUAAAUAAAUCAACUUUUUUUUUUUUUAGAAAGAGAGAGGGGGCUUCUCUCAAUUCAUGUCAAAUAAUAUUGCAUCCGCCGAUCGCAACCUAAUCAACGUAACGAGUGCCACCCCAGCAUGCUUCACUUCAGACUGUGUCCAGAGACUUCAGGUGUGGAAUGACAACCCUUCAGCUUCAUUACUCGGCCACCAGGUUCCAGAUGCCAGCAUGAUGCCAACCAGACUUCCCUGGACAGAAGACCCCACCAAUGUGUCCUGGAGCUCCGCUUCCCCAGAGCCCCACCCUACUAGGGAAAGAGAGAGACAGGCUGGGAGUAUGGGUCGACCAGUUAAUGCCCAUGUUCAGUGGGGAAACAACUACAGAAGCCAGACCUUCCACCUUCUACAACCCACAAUGACCUUGGGUCCAUGCUCCCAGAGGGAUAGAGAAUGGGAAAGCUAUCAGGGGAGGGGGUGGAAUAUGGAGAUCUGGUGGUGGGAAUUGUGUGGCGUUGUACCCCUCCUACCCUAUGGUUUUGUUAAUGUCUCCUUUUUAAAAAAAAUAAAAUAAAACAGAGGGGGCUAGG
Molecule: long non-coding RNA, 614 nt
Organism: Erinaceus europaeus (western European hedgehog)
Lineage: Eukaryota; Metazoa; Chordata; Mammalia; Eulipotyphla; Erinaceidae
Exons: 2
Source: RefSeq, a predicted model, not a curated record